RNAcentral lists this unclassified non-coding RNA (339 nucleotides) under Hevea brasiliensis (rubber tree). The record is from RNAcentral. Lineage: Eukaryota; Viridiplantae; Streptophyta; Magnoliopsida; Malpighiales; Euphorbiaceae.
UAACUUCCACCCUGCUUAAAAGGCUGAAAUAAAAAGCAAUAGCAAUCCUAAAUGCCACAGAGGGGUUAAAGACAGUAUAAUAUAUUUAACAGUCAAAGGAAAGGAAAGUAUACAUUGGCCGAUAGAAAUCACAAGCAUAAAGAUAAAUAGUAGGUCAAUAGACCAGAGCUUCACAUUCACAGUAGACCAGAAAAACAUCAGAAUGAUCAACUUACAGUGAACCCAUGCAACGAUAGUUAAACAUGCAUGAUUUAACAGAAUAUUAAGCAAGCUAGCAGGAUAACAUGAUUUUAUACCUUCUAGUCUCCCCUCAACUUUUUAGCUUGAUAUCUAGAAAUC